GAGGGCCUGCUCAGUGAGUUUACAUGUUAGAGGGAGUGGGGUAUAGUGACACAGUAACAGAGGGAUUGAGGGCCCUGCUCAGUGAGUUUACAUGUUAGAGGGAGUGGGGUAUAGGGACACAGUAACAGAGGGAUUGAGGGCCUGCUCAGUGAGUUUACAUGUUAGAGGGAGUGGGGUAUAGUGACACAGUAACAGAGGGAUUGAGGGUCCUGCUCAGUGAGUUUACAUGUUAGAGGGAGUGGGGUAUAGUGACACAGUAACAGAGGGAUUGAGGGCCUGCUCAGUGAGUUUACAUGUUAGAG
Non-coding RNA from Pelobates cultripes (western spadefoot toad), 302 nucleotides. Lineage: Eukaryota; Metazoa; Chordata; Amphibia; Anura; Pelobatidae. The record is from the annotation of a GenBank genome assembly.